Molecule: long non-coding RNA, 627 nt
Organism: Drosophila sechellia
Lineage: Eukaryota; Metazoa; Arthropoda; Insecta; Diptera; Drosophilidae
Exons: 3
Source: RefSeq, a predicted model, not a curated record
UUCUGGAAACUUCCUUCUUCUUGUGUUAACUUCCAAACGACUCACAACGAUGUCACGCUUAUGUCAAAUAAAACAGUUAUUAAACUUUAACUAAAUCGCCUCGCGUUUUACUCCACCAUUUACAAAUAGUACUAUUUGCCGUUCAGAAGCUAGCACUUCAUUGCUUGUGUCAUCUAAAUCAACAUGGUUCCAUAACAAUAUAUAUGCGGAAUGCUAACGGCGCUUUGCAGAAAAAGGCUGAACUUGCACAAUUUUUAAAUGAUAACAACAUAACCUCACAAACAAGUUCCAGGAUAUCAGUUCUACUCCACAAAUCACCCGGAUGGCAAGGUCCAUGGAAGCACCGUCCACUUCAAUAAGUCUCCAGUCUACAAUCUGGUUUCUCACCCGGUUUCACCACUUCGCUUUCCAAUCUUUAUGGAUUUUUUUUUUGAAUUCUUUAAUUCAUUAGGUAAGAGAAUAACUGCGUCCGGCGACUACAAUGUAAAUCACCUGGUCUUGUAACCACAACGGGAAAGUAGCUGAUUAUUGUGAUUAUCAAGCCGCAGUUUUGGGUGGUUUUAGGGCGUGGCAAAUUUUUUUUUGCAAAUCGAUGGAAACUUGCAAGCCUAAUAAAAAUUUAAAAAA